This 425-nucleotide ribosomal RNA is filed under the name uncultured bacterium. Its description in RNAcentral is "partial 16S ribosomal RNA". It matches the Rfam family "Bacterial small subunit ribosomal RNA", at positions 354 to 796 of the family's 1533-position model. The record is from RNAcentral.
GUGGGGAAUAUUGGGCAAUGGGCGAAAGCCUGACCCAGCAACGCCGCGUGAAGGAAGAAGGUCUUCGGAUCGUAAACUUCUAACCUUGGUGAAGAUAAUGACGGUAGCCGAGAAGGAAGCCCCGGCUAACUACGUGCCAGCAGCCGCGGUAAUACGUAGGGGGCAAGCGUUGUCCGGAAUGAUUGGGCGUAAAGGGUGCGUAGGCGGCCCGGUAAGUCUGAAGUGAAAGUCCUGCUUUUAAGGUGGGAAUUGCUUUGGAUACUGUCGGGCUUGAGUGCAGGAGAGGUAAGCGGAAUUCCCGGUGUAGCGGUGAAAUGCGUAGAGAUCGGGAGGAACACCAGUGGCGAAGGCGGCUUACUGGACUGUAACUGACGCUGAGGCGCGAAAGUGUGGGGAGCAAACAGGAUUAGAAACCCCAGUAGUCC